RNAcentral lists this ribosomal RNA (533 nucleotides) under Bifidobacterium breve. RNAcentral's name for it is "bacterial SSU rRNA". It matches the Rfam family "Bacterial small subunit ribosomal RNA", at positions 163 to 705 of the family's 1533-position model. Lineage: Bacteria; Bacillati; Actinomycetota; Actinomycetes; Bifidobacteriales; Bifidobacteriaceae. The record is from RNAcentral.
GUAAUGCCGGAUGCUCCAUCACACCGCAUGGUGUGUUGGGAAAGCCUUUGCGGCAUGGGAUGGGGUCGCGUCCUAUCAGCUUGAUGGCGGGGUAACGGCCCACCAUGGCUUCGACGGGUAGCCGGCCUGAGAGGGCGACCGGCCACAUUGGGACUGAGAUACGGCCCAGACUCCUACGGGAGGCAGCAGUGGGGAAUAUUGCACAAUGGGCGCAAGCCUGAUGCAGCGACGCCGCGUGAGGGAUGGAGGCCUUCGGGUUGUAAACCUCUUUUGUUAGGGAGCAAGGCAUUUUGUGUUGAGUGUACCUUUCGAAUAAGCACCGGCUAACUACGUGCCAGCAGCCGCGGUAAUACGUAGGGUGCAAGCGUUAUCCGGAAUUAUUGGGCGUAAAGGGCUCGUAGGCGGUUCGUCGCGUCCGGUGUGAAAGUCCAUCGCUUAACGGUGGAUCCGCGCCGGGUACGGGCGGGCUUGAGUGCGGUAGGGGAGACUGGAAUUCCCGGUGUAACGGUGGAAUGUGUAGAUAUCGGAGAAGA